This 253-nucleotide ribosomal RNA is filed under the name uncultured bacterium. RNAcentral describes it as "partial 16S ribosomal RNA". It matches the Rfam family "Bacterial small subunit ribosomal RNA", at positions 524 to 776 of the family's 1533-position model. The record is from RNAcentral.
UACGUAGGGGGCAAGCGUUGUCCGGAAUCAUUGGGCGUAAAGAGCUCGUAGGCGGUCUGUCGCGUCGGAUGUGAAAAUCCAGGGCUCAACCCUGGACCUGCAUUCGAUACGGGCAGACUAGAGUUCGGCAGGGGAGACUGGAAUUCCUGGUGUAGCGGUGAAAUGCGCAGAUAUCAGGAGGAACACCGGUGGCGAAGGCGGGUCUCUGGGCCGAUACUGACGCUGAGGAGCGAAAGCGUGGGGAGCGAACAGG